ACUCAAAGGAAUUGACGGGGGCCCGCACAAGCAGUGGAACAUGUGGUUCAAUUCGACGCUACGCGAAGAACCUCACCAGGGUUUGACAUAUAGGUAGUAGGAACCUGAAAGGGGGACGACUCGUUAAGCCGAGUGCCUAUACAGGUGUUGCAUGGCUGUCGUCAGCUCGUGCCGUGAGGUGUUGGGUUAAGUCCCGCAACGAGCGCAACCAUCAUCCUUAGUUGCACACGAAGGAUCCGAAAGGGUUCUGGCGAGCACUCUAAGGAGACUGCCCGUGAUAAACGGGAGGAAGGUGGAGAUGACGUCAAGUCCGUAUGGCCCUUAUACCCUGGGCUACACACGUGUUACAAUGGGAUGUACAGAGCGUUGCCAAACCGCGAGGUGGAGCUAAUCGCAAAAAGCAUCCCCCAGUUCAGAUUGGAGUCUGCAACCCGACUCCAUGAAGUUGGAAUUGCUAGUAACGGCGGAUCAGCUACGCCGCCGUGAAUACGUUCCCGGGCCUUGUACACACCGCCCGU
RNAcentral lists this ribosomal RNA (518 nucleotides) under uncultured bacterium. RNAcentral describes it as "bacterial SSU rRNA". It matches the Rfam family "Bacterial small subunit ribosomal RNA", at positions 899 to 1397 of the family's 1533-position model. The record is from RNAcentral.